CAAAAAAUAGCUUAAUAUAAAGCAAUUUAUUUACAUUAAAAAGAUACAUUAUAGUUUUUUUGA
RNAcentral lists this transfer RNA (63 nucleotides) under Notolachesilla sp. GRA1sp1LA. RNAcentral describes it as "tRNA-Val". The record is from RNAcentral. Lineage: Eukaryota; Metazoa; Arthropoda; Insecta; Psocodea; Lachesillidae.